Danio rerio (zebrafish) is the source of this 71-nucleotide non-coding RNA. The record is from Rfam. Lineage: Eukaryota; Metazoa; Chordata; Actinopteri; Cypriniformes; Danionidae.
GUAUUGGUGGUUCAGUGGUAGAAUUCUCGCCUGCCAUGCAGGAGACCCGGGUCUGAUUCCCGACCAAUGCA